GCCGGGUAUGGUGGCCCACACCUGUAAUCCCAGCUAUUUGGGAGGCUGAGGCAGGAGAGUCACUUGAACCUGGGAGUCUGAGGUUGCAGUGAGCUAAGAUGGUGCCACUGCAUCCCAGCCUGGGCAACAGAGUGAGAUUCUGUCUCAA
Molecule: unclassified non-coding RNA, 148 nt
Organism: Callithrix jacchus (white-tufted-ear marmoset)
Lineage: Eukaryota; Metazoa; Chordata; Mammalia; Primates; Cebidae
Rfam family: Metazoan signal recognition particle RNA
About the family: The signal recognition particle (SRP) is a universally conserved ribonucleoprotein. It is involved in the co-translational targeting of proteins to membranes.
Source: Ensembl